GAUGAAGAACGCAGCGAAAUGCGAUACUUGGUGUGAAUUGCAGAAUCCCGUGAACCAUCGAGUCUUUGAACGCAAGUUGCGCCCGAAGCCAUUAGGCCGAGGGCACGCCUGCCUGGGUGUCACACACCGUUACCCUCGCGCCAACGUCCAUCGUUGGCCGCGGCGCGGGGCGUGCGCUGACCUCCCGCGAGCGGGGUCUCGUGGUUGGUUGAAAAUCGAGUUCGCGGUCGAGGGUGCCGUGAUGAAAUGGUGGAUGGGCGACGCCCGAGGCCAAUCACGCGCGACUCUGUCCGCUCGGACUCCUGGACCCCUUCGGCGUCUCCGGACGCUCUUUGGCGAGACCUCAGGUCAGGCGGGGCUACCCGCUGAGUUUAAGCAUAUCAAUAAGCGGAGGA
This 395-nucleotide unclassified non-coding RNA is filed under the name soil metagenome. RNAcentral describes it as "partial contains 5.8S ribosomal RNA, internal transcribed spacer 2, and large subunit ribosomal RNA". The stretch from base 1 to 122 matches the Rfam family "5.8S ribosomal RNA", at positions 35 to 154 of the family's 154-position model. The record is from RNAcentral.